GUAGAUCCCAAUCCCAUUUGGGUUGAUGGCAACUUAACAACAUACAUUUAGGACAGCACAUGAUAAAGGACCACUUAAAUAGGUUGUUAGGAGUUUGUCUUCAUUACCAGGCUGGCGUUAUAAAUAAUAAAGAGGAGUUUAAUCAAUUCUUCCUGUUGCAACAAUUCAGUUCAGUAAAUUACCUGCAUUACAACACCGGCAACAG
RNAcentral lists this unclassified non-coding RNA (205 nucleotides) under Hevea brasiliensis (rubber tree). Lineage: Eukaryota; Viridiplantae; Streptophyta; Magnoliopsida; Malpighiales; Euphorbiaceae. The record is from RNAcentral.